CUGCGAAACCGGCCCCGCGUGGGCCGGUCGGCGGGGCGUGGUGGCCCCGUCCUGAUGAUGCAGCCGAGG
RNAcentral lists this non-coding RNA (69 nucleotides) under Paracoccus sp. (in: a-proteobacteria). The record is from RNAcentral. Lineage: Bacteria; Pseudomonadati; Pseudomonadota; Alphaproteobacteria; Rhodobacterales; Paracoccaceae.